GUCUGUCAAUUCAAUCCUAAUAUGUGGAGAUUAGUUAUCUCCAUGCAAAUUUUGUGGAGGGAAGUUUUUGGUGGGGACCGUCCUCUUACUGUGGACGAGUUUUUUUAUUGUUAUAAACCUUCUGCAAUAAGUCAAUAUGAGGGUUUUUAUCAGUUCACUGCUACGGGGAAUGAUUGUAGGUUAAUCAAGUCCCUAGCUUCGUCUAACAGGAAGUGGAAGACGGAAUUCAUCUUUGUCUCAGGCUUCUGGGCAAGGAACCCUGUGGACAUUGGUAGGGACCCCUUUCCUCCUUACACUGGGGACCUAGGGAACAUUUGUCCAGAAGGUACGUUCCUUCCCCUUGUUUAUUUUUAUCCUUUUUUCUAUUUGGUACGUUUACAAUUUCUAACCUUUAUUUAUUCAUUGUGUUGUAACUGCCAAACGUCCGUCUUUGAGCAAAUUUCACCGUGACCGCGCCCACAGGGCUCGUCUUCAUACAGAGGAGCUUUCGUUCUCUUGUCACUCUUAGAUGUCUAGCCAAGUGGGGUUUAGGUCUUGAGCCGUCAGACGAAGCUAUUGCACACGAGGUUACUAUGCGUAAAAGAAUGUCAAAAAUGAAAGAGAACAAAGGGAAAGAAGUUGUAGGUGAGGGGAAACGUCCUGAGGCUCAGACCCAGGAUCGUCCUAAGGUUCAGGUACGUCCAACGGCUGGGGACAAAAGGAAGUUCUUGCCAAAGAACAUUGAUUUGGAAGGGCUCCCUAGUCGUCGAGACAAAAGAGUGAAGCAGGGCUCGUCCAAGGUGAUUAAGUCCAAACCUCCACAGUCUUAGCCUUCCAUCCAGGUAGUUGAUGUGGACUCGUCCACUCCAGUUGAGUCCACUCCGUCCAAGACUCCUCCGCCCAGAACUCCUUUGUCCAAGCCAACUGCGCCUGGCUCGUCCCAGCCUUCUACGAACAUUAUUAAAAAUGAGGAACUGGCUUGGGAACGUUUUCAGUUGGCUGUCCUGGACGAGGACAUAAACAUGUGUUAUAACAUGGGCUUGAAGGAGUUUGAGCAUUCUGGCAUCCAUGACCUCUUUAAGGCCAUGUCAAAGUUUAUAGCAGCGUCCAGACAGGCAACAGAACUGGAUAAGACGAGGGUCUUGUUGGAGACGAGGAUUUAACAGGUGAACGCUGACUGCAAAAAAUGGGCUGGGGCUGCUGCAAAAGCUAAGGAGGAGGUCAAUGAGCAUAACAAGCUAAUCGAGGAGCUAAGGACUGAUGCAUUGGAGAAGGAUACCCGUAUUGAUCAUUUGCAAAAGAUGAACGACGAGCUGAAUGCUCGUCUCUCCAAGGCAAGAGAGGACGUUGUGGCUGAAUUCAAAUCGUCCAAAGUGUACACAGACACUCUGGAUCGCAAUUAUGCAGCUGGUUUUGAGGAUUUUAGAAUGGACACUAUUGAGAACUUCCCUGAAGUUGACUUUAGCUCAAUCAAACUUGACCUUGCUGCUGCCACAAGCUCUCUUCUUCAGACCGGCUUUGAUGACGUCAAUGUGGAAGAUGACGCCAGCACUCAGCCACCUCAGGAUGAGCCCAAUGUCAAUGCUCCCCCAACUUAAGGACGAGACCUUUACACUUAGAGCAGUCUUUGAUUUUCUUUUUUUGUUUGGUUUUUGUUCGGUCCUCUAUUUUAGGACCUUCUUUAUGUAACAAGAAUACACUAGCCUCGUCCAUGGUUUUAGGACGGGGCUUUUAGACAACCAUCUCAGUUUUUUGAACUAAUCAAGGGUU
Molecule: long non-coding RNA, 1749 nt
Organism: Quercus lobata
Lineage: Eukaryota; Viridiplantae; Streptophyta; Magnoliopsida; Fagales; Fagaceae
Exons: 3
Source: RefSeq, a predicted model, not a curated record